RNAcentral lists this ribosomal RNA (494 nucleotides) under uncultured beta proteobacterium. RNAcentral's name for it is "bacterial SSU rRNA". The record is from RNAcentral. Lineage: Bacteria; Pseudomonadati; Pseudomonadota; Betaproteobacteria.
GAGUUUGAUCAUGGCUCAGAUUGAACGCUGGCGGCAUGCCUUACACAUGCAAGUCGAACGGCAGCAUGAUCUAGCUUGCUAGAUUGAUGGCGAGUGGCGAACGGGUGAGUAAUACAUCGGAACGUGCCCUGUAGUGGGGGAUAACUAGUCGAAAGAUUAGCUAAUACCGCAUACGACCUGAGGGUGAAAGUGGGGGACCGCAAGGCCUCAUGCUAUAGGAGCGGCCGAUGUCUGAUUAGCUAGUUGGUGGGGUAAAGGCCCACCAAGGCGACGAUCAGUAGCUGGUCUGAGAGGACGAUCAGCCACACUGGGACUGAGACACGGCCCAGACUCCUACGGGAGGCAGCAGUGGGGAAUUUUGGACAAUGGGCGAAAGCCUGAUCCAGCAAUGCCGCGUGUGUGAAGAAGGCCUUCGGGUUGUAAAGCACUUUUGUCCGGAAAGAAAUGGCUYUGGUUAAUACCUGGGGUCGAUGACGUACUGAGGAUAKUUCGGC